RNAcentral lists this transfer RNA (66 nucleotides) under Ips calligraphus. RNAcentral describes it as "tRNA-Thr". Lineage: Eukaryota; Metazoa; Arthropoda; Insecta; Coleoptera; Curculionidae. The record is from RNAcentral.
GCAUUAAUAAUUUAAUUAAAAUUUUAGUCUUGUAAACUAAACAUAAGAACUCUUUCUUUUAGUGCU